UUGAGGGGGGUUGCUCCUAGUACGAGAGGACCGGAGUGAACGCACCACUGGUGUUCGGGUUGUCAUGCCAAUGGCAUUGCCCGGUAGCUAAGUGCGGAAAAGAUAAGUGCUGAAAGCAUCUAAGCACGAAACUUGCCCCGAGAUGAGUUCUCCCUGACUCCCAGAGAGUCCUGAAGGGACGUUGAAGACGACGACGUUGAUAGGCCGGAUGUGUAAGUGCAGCGAUGCAUUGAGCUAACCGGUACUAAUGACCCGUGAGGCUUAACCU
RNAcentral lists this ribosomal RNA (268 nucleotides) under Pantoea sp. GL120224-02. RNAcentral describes it as "23S rRNA. Bacterial LSU". It matches the Rfam family "Bacterial large subunit ribosomal RNA", at positions 2662 to 2925 of the family's 2925-position model. The record is from RNAcentral. Lineage: Bacteria; Pseudomonadati; Pseudomonadota; Gammaproteobacteria; Enterobacterales; Erwiniaceae.